CUGCUCAAUGAUUAAUAUAAUAAAUAGCUGCAGUAUUUUGACUGUACAAAGGUAGCAUAAUCAUUUGUCUUUUUAAUGAAGUCUAGAAUGAAUGAUUUAAUGAAAUUUAAACUUUAUUAAAUUAAUUUUUUGAAUUUAAUUUUAAGUAAAAAAUCUUAAUUAUUUUUAAAAGACGAGAAGACCCUAUAAAAUUUUAUAAAAUUAAUUUAUUUAUUAAAAUAAAUUUUAUUAAUAAUUUAUAUUUAUUUUAUUGGGGUUAUAAUAAAAUUUAAAUAAUUUUUAUAUUUAAUUAUCAUUAAUUUAUGAAAUUUAAAAUCCAAUAUUUAUUGAAUUUAAAUUAAAUUACUUUAGGGAUAACAGCGUAAUUAUAGUGGAAAGAUCAUAUUGAUAAUAAAGUUUGCGACCUCGAUGCUGAAUUAAGAUAAAUUUAAAAUGAAGAAAUUUUAUAAU
RNAcentral lists this ribosomal RNA (450 nucleotides) under Encarsia formosa. Its description in RNAcentral is "partial 16S rRNA". Lineage: Eukaryota; Metazoa; Arthropoda; Insecta; Hymenoptera; Aphelinidae. The record is from RNAcentral.